This 209-nucleotide ribosomal RNA is filed under the name uncultured bacterium. RNAcentral describes it as "partial 16S ribosomal RNA". It matches the Rfam family "Bacterial small subunit ribosomal RNA", at positions 524 to 732 of the family's 1533-position model. The record is from RNAcentral.
UACGGGGGGGAGCAAGCGUUGUUCGGAUUUAUUGGGCGUAAAGAGCUCGUAGGCGGUUUGUCGCGUCGGCCGUGAAAUCUCCCGGCUUAACUGGGAGGGUGCGGCGAAGACUGCGGGGCUGGAGUGUGGAGAGGUAAGCGGAAUUCCUGGUGUAGCGGUGAAAUGCGUAGAUAUCAGGAGGAACACCGGUGGCGAAGGCGGGCUCUUGG